AUCGGUGGCCUCACCACCCUGAACACACCAGAUCUUGUCUGAUAGCAGAAGCUAAGCAGGUCAGGCCUGGUUCGUAGUUGGAUGGGAGAAAAUACAUUCACAGUCCUUCCACUAAUU
Molecule: ribosomal RNA, 117 nt
Filed under: Fukomys damarensis (Damara mole-rat)
Lineage: Eukaryota; Metazoa; Chordata; Mammalia; Rodentia; Bathyergidae
Source: RNAcentral